RNAcentral lists this ribosomal RNA (382 nucleotides) under uncultured soil bacterium. Its description in RNAcentral is "bacterial SSU rRNA". It matches the Rfam family "Bacterial small subunit ribosomal RNA", at positions 26 to 410 of the family's 1533-position model. The record is from RNAcentral.
AGGACGAACGCUGGCGGCGUGCUUAACACAUGCAAGUCGAGCGGUAAGGCCUUUCGGGGUACACGAGCGGCGAACGGGUGAGUAACACGUGGGUGAUCUGCCCUGCACUCUGGGAUAAGCCUGGGAAACUGGGUCUAAUACCGGAUAUGACCUGCUCUCGCAGUGGGGGUGGGUGGAAAGAUUUAUCGGUGCAGGAUGGGCCCGCGGCCUAUCAGCUUGUUGGUGGGGUAAUGGCCUACCAAGGCGACGACGGGUAGCCGACCUGAGAGGGUGACCGGCCACACUGGGGACUGAGACACGGCCCAGACUCCUACGGGAGGCAGCAGUGGGGAAUAUUGCACAAUGGGCGAAAGCCUGAUGCAGCGACGCCGCGUGAGGGAUG